This 529-nucleotide ribosomal RNA is filed under the name Kluyveromyces lactis. Its description in RNAcentral is "eukaryotic LSU rRNA". It matches the Rfam family "Eukaryotic large subunit ribosomal RNA", at positions 77 to 648 of the family's 3401-position model. Lineage: Eukaryota; Fungi; Ascomycota; Saccharomycetes; Saccharomycetales; Saccharomycetaceae. The record is from RNAcentral.
UGCUUAGUAACGGCGAGUGAGCGGCAAAAGCUCAAAUUUGAAAUCUGGCGUCUUCGACGUCCGAGUUGUAAUUUGAAGAAGGCAACUUUGUAGCUGGUCCUUGUCUAUGUUCCUUGGAACAGGACGUCAUAGAGGGUGAGAAUCCCGUGUGGCGAGGAUCCCAGUUAUUUGUAAAGUGCUUUCGACGAGUCGAGUUGUUUGGGAAUGCAGCUCUAAGUGGGUGGUAAAUUCCAUCUAAAGCUAAAUAUUGGCGAGAGACCGAUAGCGAACAAGUACAGUGAUGGAAAGAUGAAAAGAACUUUGAAAAGAGAGUGAAAAAGUACGUGAAAUUGUUGAAAGGGAAGGGCAUUUGAUCAGACAUGGCGUUUGCUUCGGCUUUCGCUGGGCCAGCAUCAGUUUUAGCGGUUGGAUAAAUCCUCGGGAAUGUGGCUCUGCUUCGGUAGAGUGUUAUAGCCCGUGGGAAUACAGCCAGCUGGGACUGAGGAUUGCGACUUUUGUCAAGGAUGCUGGCGUAAUGGUUAAAUGCCGC